This 804-nucleotide ribosomal RNA is filed under the name uncultured bacterium. RNAcentral's name for it is "bacterial SSU rRNA". It matches the Rfam family "Bacterial small subunit ribosomal RNA", at positions 592 to 1394 of the family's 1533-position model. The record is from RNAcentral.
UNUUAAAAGUUCGGGGCUUAACCCCGUGAUGGGAUGGAAACUGCUGAUCUAGAGUAUCGGAGAGGACAGUGGAAUUCCUAGUGUAGCGGUGAAAUGCGUAGAUAUUAGGAAGAACACCAGUGGCGAAGGCGACUUUCUGGACGAAAACUGACGCUGAGGCGCGAAAGCCAGGGGAGCGAACGGGAUUAGAUACCCCGGUAGUCCUGNCCGUAAACGAUGGGUACUAGGUGUAGGAGGUAUCGACCCCUUCUGUGCCGGAGUUAACGCAAUAAGUACCCCGCCUGGGGAGUACGACCGCAAGGUUGAAUCUCAAAGGAAUUGACGGGGGCCCGCACAAGCGGUGGAGUAUGUGGUUUAAUUCGACGCAACGCGAAGAACCUUACCAGGUCUUGACAUUGAUGGACAGAACCAGAGAUGGUUCCUCUUCUUCGGAAGCCAGAAAACAGGUGGUGCACGGUUGUCGUCAGCUCGUGUCGUGAGAUGUUGGGUUAAGUCCCGCAACGAGCGCAACCCCUAUCUUAUGUUGCCAGCACGUAAAGGUGGGAACUCAUGAGAGACUGCCGCAGACAAUGCGGAGGAAGGCGGGGAUGACGUCAAAUCAUCAUGCCCCUUAUGACCUGGGCUACACACGUACUACAAUGGGAGUUAAUAGACGGAAGCGAGAUCGCGAGAUGGAGCAAAUCCGAGAAACACUCUCUCAGUUCGGAUCGUAGGCUGCAACUCGCCUACGUGAAGUCGGAAUCGCUAGUAAUCGCAGGUCAGCAUACUGCGGUGAAUACGUUCCCGGGCCUUGUACACACCGCC